AGAAAACUAUGGAUUAGAAUUUCAGGUAACUAUGAUACUAAUUUCACAUUUAACUUUAUCAGCUAAACAACUAAUGUUUGUUUCUUGUCACAACUUAGGUGUUAUAAAAGACAAGUUUUAAGCUCUGGAAAAUGUCAUUUCUUUAAGCAUGGAUAAAAAGAAACACUGGAAAAUAGAAGUAAAAUAUUUCAUCAUUUUUGAGGUUUUGCACUUUUACUCUCUGCUUCUUGGACCCUACUUAUUAUUGGCUCAUCUUUCUCUUUGAACCAUGUUUAUCUGCUUUGUUACUAACCUCCACUAACAUAAAAAGGCGAAGGUUGCAAAGCACCUGCCUUCACAAUGGCGUCUUGAAAAAACAUGGCAUUGUAGUCAUCGUCAAUUUGGCCAUCUAAU
This 393-nucleotide long non-coding RNA is filed under the name Bos taurus (domestic cattle). RNAcentral describes it as "long non-coding RNA NONBTAT022231". Lineage: Eukaryota; Metazoa; Chordata; Mammalia; Artiodactyla; Bovidae. The record is from RNAcentral.